Molecule: long non-coding RNA, 944 nt
Organism: Crotalus tigris (Tiger rattlesnake)
Lineage: Eukaryota; Metazoa; Chordata; Lepidosauria; Squamata; Viperidae
Exons: 3
Source: RefSeq, a predicted model, not a curated record
GUUAAAUGGUUGUUCGACCCCAAAUGGGGUCCCAACCCACAGGUUGAGAACCACUGUUCUAUUGUGACUGCUACUUCUAUUAGAGGCCAGGUCAUCUUCAAUAGUAAUGAGUACUUUGUCAGUGAUGGCUCCAUGUUAAUGGAAGUUACAAAGCAUGAAUUGCAAUAUGCUCUAAUAAAUUUGCAAUUUUCCCUAAUGUGCACUUUUUAGAAACACAAGUACUUUUAAUAUAUCUGCAAUUACUAGUAAUCUAUAACUGACUUUUGUUAAUAUCAAAAAGUUAGGUAGGAUUAGAAAUGGUUAGGAAUUGGAUGGGAGACCUGUUAGGAAAUCCCAGAGCCACAGAUUAGAUUGGGAUGUCAAAAAACAUUAACAUCCUGGAUAAAGAAAAUGCAAUAUAUCUAUAUUGUUUCAAUAAACAUCAUGGGUAAAUUGGUAGGAAUUGACAUGGCGGAGUUUGCCAAUCAUGUGGUAGGUGUAACUAAUCCAAGACACCCAAUUAACCAGGAGGCAAAUUGAUAAGCUUGUUCAUCAUUCUCUUUCUUACCAUACUUAAAUGUUUUUUUAUUUUAAGGAUAGGUGGCCCAUCCCCAAAUAUCUAGGUUGCCCUGUCUGGGACAUAUGAAGAGAAAAUAAAGAACAAAAGAUGGUGCUGUGCUGCAUGCCAGGAUUCCUUUUCAGGGUCAGACUCCUAUUCUCAGAAUCAUUCAUGUGCACCAAAAGAAUACUUCCACUUUCAACCUAGAUAGAAAUAGCAGUUCUUCAAAUCUACAGCACGACUGACCCAGAUUUUAAACUCAAGGCCUAAAUUAUGACGCAGGAGUCAUCUGAGCACUACAGCCCCAGCACUCAAGAUUUGACUAAAGCCAAUUCCACAGCAAAGGGGUGUCGAACUGCUGGCCCGUGGGCUGGUUGCAUCAUACGGAGGCUGCACCCCCAGCUCC